This 92-nucleotide transfer RNA is filed under the name Micromonospora andamanensis. Its description in RNAcentral is "tRNA-Gly". Lineage: Bacteria; Bacillati; Actinomycetota; Actinomycetes; Micromonosporales; Micromonosporaceae. The record is from RNAcentral.
GGGGGCUCAGGCUGCGGUAGGGUGCCGCAGCGCCUGCCAGGCGCCGUAGCCGCCGAGCAGGUCGGCGACGUCGGUACGGCCGGCGGCCCGCA